AGUGGAAUGUUUUGUUUCGAAC
This 22-nucleotide microRNA is filed under the name Ciona intestinalis (vase tunicate). RNAcentral's name for it is "cin-miR-5600-3p". The record is from miRBase by way of RNAcentral. Lineage: Eukaryota; Metazoa; Chordata; Ascidiacea; Phlebobranchia; Cionidae.